RNAcentral lists this ribosomal RNA (469 nucleotides) under uncultured bacterium. Its description in RNAcentral is "partial 16S ribosomal RNA". It matches the Rfam family "Bacterial small subunit ribosomal RNA", at positions 28 to 507 of the family's 1533-position model. The record is from RNAcentral.
GACGAACGCUGGCGGCGUGCUUAACACAUGCAAGUCGAACGGAAAGGCCCUGCUUGCAGGGUGCUCGAGUGGCGAACGGGUGAGUAACACGUGGGUGAUCUGCCCCUUACUUUGGGAUAAGCCUGGGAAACUGGGUCUAAUACUGGAUAGGACCAUGCUGUAGGUGGUGUGGUGGAAAGAUUAGUUUCGGUAAGGGAUGAGCUCGCGGCCUAUCAGCUUGUUGGUGGGGUAAUGGCCUACCAAGGCGUCGACGGGUAGCCGGCCUGAGAGGGUGGACGGCCACAUUGGGACUGAGAUACGGCCCAGACUCCUACGGGAGGCAGCAGAGGGGAAUAUUGCACAAUGGGCGCAAGCCUGAUGCAGCGACGCCGCGUGGGGGAUGACGGCCUUCGGGUUGUAAACUCCUUGCAGCCAUGACGAAGCCCUUGUGGUGACGGUAGUGGUAGAAGAAGCACCGGCUAACUACGUG